GGUAUUCAUAUAAACCGUGUGAAGCUUAAGCGGAUAAGAAGAACACCGGAGACUGCUUAAUCGGAUUCCUUGAACGGAGAGGUACACCGGACGAUUGCAGGUAAGUUGAUUUUUUUUUAGGUUUAAUUUUUGAGCGGUGUUCAUCCUAUAAUCAUCUAUACCGGACACGCUUUGAUCGGUAUUCAUCUACACCGGUCACCAUUUGAGCGGAUUCUUCACAACUUUGAGCGGUUUACACUAAACCUCACACUAUUUCAUCGGAUUCGUUCAAAUCAGGUCAGUUUUAGCUUUCAAUUUUGAGCGGACUUGUGAACUUUUUAGGAUGAACUUUUGUGCAUCAAGUUAUCCGGUUUAUUAAACCGCUCAAUCAAUUUCACCGGUUUCUUAAUCGCUCAAAGUAAAUUGAUCUGUAUAAUCUGUUUUUUUUUAAGUUGAUCAUCAGUUUAUGUGGUUUAUCGCACAACAGAAAGCUUGUCUGGAUUUGAUGUUUGGUAUUCAAUAAUACAAUUUGUAAUUCAUCUGAUUUGGAAAUUUCUUGAAAGCCAAGAAGAAAUUUGAAACUCAUUUAGCUACACAGGCACUUUACAAUGAUAUUGAACUUCUUGUUUUGAAAUUGUUGUGGUUUUACGUUGCUGUUUUGAUUUUAAUGUUCUGGAAUAUAUUUGAGGACUGGUUCAUAGGACUGUUUAUCACACAAUCUUGGAAAGAAGGACUUCGGGAUUUUGAGCAGAAGCAACAACAGGACAGGUUUCAGCAUCAAUUUCACUGUUUUGAAGGUUUUGCUGUUUUGAAGUUUUAAGUUGCUGUUUUUAAGCUGUUUUUUUUAAGAACAUGAACAUAGCAACUGUUUAACAACAGCAACAACAGAACAACAAGUAUUAACAGCAGCAACAGGUUGUUGUUGUUGAGUUUAAAAUCGAAAGCUGUUGGUGUGGAGAUGAUUCAAGUGACAGUAGACUGUUUAUUUUGACAGCUUAGUGUAAGCAAUAACAGGUUUUGAUAGCAGAUUUGAAGGUAUAUUAGUCUUAUUGGUUUUUGAGCAAAGAACAGCAGCAGCAGAAGUGUGCAGGUGACAGCAACAGUAGCAAGAAACAGUUUAAAACAUAUCGUGCAGUAGGUCACAGAAACAGUGUGUGAACAAGAGGACAUCAAUAGAUUUUUUUAAGCAGUUUGUAGUGUUGUUUUGCUGUUCAAAACAACAUUAGUUGUUUUGUGAGCAGUGUGCAGCAGCUUCACUUGCUGUGUUUGUGAACAGUGUCGGUAAAAGAUUCACUUGUUACAGGGUUUUGAUCUGUGCUGUGUUGAAGCAGCAGCAACAAACAGAACAGCAGCAGUACAGCCUGUUAAUUGAAACAAGAAGAAGACAGCAACAGAAAAAGAAAGUGUAACAGCAACUGUUUCACUUUGCAGACUGAAACAACAGCUUAAUCUUGUUUGUAGGUGAUAGAUUCGUUGUUCCUGGUUUGCAGUAGUUAACAGCAGCUAGGCAGAUUUGACAGCAGCAAUAUCUCAUCAAUAUCUCACAAUGAAAACAAAACAGCAGCAGCAAAGUUUUUUUUUGGAAUGUGUUUAGUGUAACAGCAAGUUCAUAAUCGCAGACUUGUUGUUGUGAUUAGAUAUAGACAAAUUUGUGUGCUGCUGAGUGAUGUGUAUUCAGUGUGCAGGUUUCUUCAUCUUGACAGCUUCAUCUGUUUUAUGCAUUGCAGUUUGACAGCAACUACAUUUUGACAAGAAACAAGUUUAACAGCAGCAGUUUGUCGCUCAAGUGCAGGUCUGUUUUUGACAGCCAGUAGCAGGUCUGUGAAGAACAUAGCAAGUUUAAAAGCAUCAAAACAGCAAAGCUGUGCUGUAUUGGUGUGGAGAGGGAGAAAACAGCAGCAAAAAGUUGGUGUGAACAAGAAAAGCAGCAACAAAGCAUUUGUGUGCAGUUUUAAGCAAACAACAGUAACAGCAGUUUUAAGAAAACAGUAACACAUUCUUGCUGUUUUAAAACUGUUUUGUCAGCAACAAGAAGAAAGAAACAGCAGGUUUCUGUUUAAAAGGUUUUAAAAACAGCAGGUUCACAACUACAGGUUUUAUAUAUCAAUUGUUCAUUGAACUGAUUCAGUUGCAUGUUUGUAGUCUAAAUCUGCUGUCUAUGGAGAUUUUGUAAUUACUUAGUAUAGACUUGACUGUCAAUUUUGGUGCAGGAAUCUGUUAAAAUCUGUUGGUGUGAAGACUGCAGUCGACAGCGGAAAAGAAAGUUUUUCAAGCAUAGUUAGGAUUGGUUUUGGACAGUUUAACAGAUUUGAAAGACURUUGAUUUGGUUUUGCUUUCGGGGACUAAGUUCAACUUYACAGAAGCACACAGCAUUCAAGUGGAUUUUUGAAUACACUUCAGAGAGCAGAUAGAUCAUUUUUUUAGUGUAAUAUCUGUAUUGUAUUUGGGCUUGGAUCGGUGUGAUUUGGACUUAGACUCAUAUUUUUGGACWUGGAUAUUUUUUUUGGACUGUUUAUAGUUUCUUAGGAUUGUUUGUGUUUAGA
This is a long non-coding RNA of Cynara cardunculus var. scolymus (artichoke), 2523 nucleotides long. RefSeq lists it as uncharacterized. The record is from RefSeq and is a predicted model, not a curated record. The transcript has 3 exons. Lineage: Eukaryota; Viridiplantae; Streptophyta; Magnoliopsida; Asterales; Asteraceae.